RNAcentral lists this ribosomal RNA (264 nucleotides) under uncultured archaeon. Its description in RNAcentral is "partial 16S ribosomal RNA". It matches the Rfam family "Archaeal small subunit ribosomal RNA", at positions 714 to 982 of the family's 1478-position model. The record is from RNAcentral.
AGACGUCCACAUUAGAUACCCCCGUAGUCCCAGCCGUAAACUAUGCGCGUUAGGUGUAUCGGUGACCACGAGUUACCGAGGUGCCGAAGGGAAACCGUGAAACGUGCCGCCUGGGAAGUACGGUCGCAAGGCUGAAACUUAAAGGAAUUGGCGGGGAGCACCACAACAGGUGGAGCCUGCGGUUUAAUUGGACUCAACGCCGGGAAGCUCACCGGAUAGGACAGCAGAAUGAUUGCCGGGCUGAAGACCCUGCAUGACUAGCUG